GCGUGUUGCAAGUGCUGCACACUGUGUUGCUGCCCUCAGUAGUACCCACACUGCGACAAUCGCCAUCGUCCUGCUAUCGCUUCGCCACGGCCACGCGCCUCUUUAAAGCGCCCCGUCUCGCUGCUGCAACUGCUGCAGACAGUGCUACAAACAAAGUCACCUCUCCACUCCCUCUCUCCGCAACUGUCAGCAAAAUCACAAACGAAGACUCCGGCGAGC
This 219-nucleotide unclassified non-coding RNA is filed under the name Hevea brasiliensis (rubber tree). Lineage: Eukaryota; Viridiplantae; Streptophyta; Magnoliopsida; Malpighiales; Euphorbiaceae. The record is from RNAcentral.